Long non-coding RNA from Rana temporaria (common frog), 279 nucleotides. RefSeq lists it as uncharacterized. The record is from RefSeq and is a predicted model, not a curated record. The transcript is spliced from 3 exons. NCBI's taxonomy places the organism in Eukaryota, Metazoa, Chordata, Amphibia, Anura, Ranidae.
AAUGAUCGGAAGUGUCCGGCGUGUAGCACGGAGAGUGACGUCACUGGGGGAGCUGUAUAUAUUUAUAUUUAUAUAUACACACCGGGGCCCCCGGCCCUCAUGAAAUGAAUCUGGUGAUGAUGUCAUUGCACAGGAUGGUGCGGUGUUGCCAUCCAUGGAGGAGUGGGAGUAUAUAGAAGGACACAAGGAUCUGUAGAAGGACGUAAUAAUGGCGAGCCAGCCGGCCCUCAGAUCACCGGAUGGAUCCAGUAAUGGGAACCCACCAGAGAGAUGUCCCCG